CUCGCAUUCUGUCAGCGCUCAGGCGGCUCCCAGUUUUGGCAGGCCGUCGUCCAGUUGCUGCCCGUGCUUCGCAUUGGCACAUCCAUUUCGGUGGGUACUGGGUCCUCGACCCUGUUCUGGUUUGAUAGGUGGCUUGGCGACACCCCCCUGGCCGCGCGUUUUCCAGUGUUCUUCGACAUCGCUGUCGACCCUCGGGUAUCUGUCGAGGCGGCCCUUAUUGACUUAGGGCGCCUCGCUUUCCGCCGCCCCUUUGGCCCCCCUGAGGUUGCAGCUUGGGAUGUCCUCCUCCAGGACAUCGCCCUUCUCCCUAUGGACGUCACCGACACCCCGGACGCCAUCUCUUGGCGUCUGGAACCCUCCAGCUGCUUCUCCACCAAAUCCCUCUACGCGGCUAUCGCCCCAUCGAUGGCCCCCGAGCCCUUCAGUUUGAUCUGGGACAUCCGCCUGCCCCUGAAGAUCAGGAUCUUCCUGUGGCAAUGGAUCCGCGGCCGCCUCCCGUCCGGCGUAAAGGUCCUUAAGCGUCAUGGACCUGGAGAUGGGAUGUGCCCCAUGUGCGGCACGGUAGAGGAUGCCAACCACAUCUUCUUCUCGUGCUACAUGGCACAGUUCCUUUGGUCCUGUUUCCGCGAAAUGGUUGGGGGCCAGUGGUGCAACACCAACUUCCCUGAUCUGCUUGCGGAAAUUCAGGCCUCCCCCCCUCGCUACAGGCAUAUUAGAUGGCUUUGCAUUGGGGUCCUUGCCUGGACGCUAUGGACCGUACGCAAUAAGCUUGUCAUACAGAAGGUGCCUCUUCGGUGUGCUACUGACUCCAUUUUUAAAAUGUGUGGUUAUUUGCAGCUCUGGCGGCAGCUUAGCCGCCCCCAGGACCGGGACGUCAUCAGCACCCUCCUCGCCGACCUUCGAUCGAUGGCCUUCCGCUUGGCGCCUCCGCUCCCUCCGCCACCCCCGGAGCCCGACUAG
RNAcentral lists this ribosomal RNA (960 nucleotides) under Triticum aestivum (bread wheat). RNAcentral's name for it is "partial small subunit ribosomal RNA". The record is from RNAcentral. Lineage: Eukaryota; Viridiplantae; Streptophyta; Magnoliopsida; Poales; Poaceae.